This 245-nucleotide ribosomal RNA is filed under the name uncultured bacterium. Its description in RNAcentral is "partial 16S ribosomal RNA". It matches the Rfam family "Bacterial small subunit ribosomal RNA", at positions 524 to 768 of the family's 1533-position model. The record is from RNAcentral.
UACGAGUACCCCAAGUGUUAUCCGGAAUUAUUGGGCGUAAAGGGUGCGUAGGUGGUCAUGUUAGUCCUUUGUUAAAGACUCCGGCUUAACCGGGGUACUGCGGAGGAUACGGCAUGACUCGAGGAUGCGAGAGGUGUGCGGAACUCAUGGUGUAGGGGUGAAAUCCGUUGAUAUCAUGGGGAACACCAAAUGCGAAGGCAGCACACUGGCGUAUUCCUGACACUCAAGCACGAAAGCGUGGGUAU